Long non-coding RNA from Hipposideros armiger (great roundleaf bat), 928 nucleotides. RefSeq lists it as uncharacterized. NCBI's taxonomy places the organism in Eukaryota, Metazoa, Chordata, Mammalia, Chiroptera, Hipposideridae. The transcript has 4 exons. The record is from RefSeq and is a predicted model, not a curated record.
CUGUUUUCAAUUUGAAAGGGAGCCAAUGCCUCCGCACUCUGGGUGGGGUUAGCAGAGAGUUGACUGACCAUGAGUCAGAGAGAUUAGUAGGUGAGGGUGCUCUCCUUGGCUCCGGAACUCCGAGACGGGUUGACAAAGCUGCUGUGCUCCAAGGGGCAGGCACAUCCCCCUGAAGGUAAAUGCUUCUGUUUGGAGGAUGAUGCUGUGAUGGACCCUGAUGAGGAAGCCACUCUGAGAUCUGGGGCUGUGACUGUCUCUGUUGGAGAAAGAUGCUUUUUGGACUGCCUAGAGCAGCAGGAGCCCAAUGAGAAGGUCCAAUUGCGUCCACCCCGAGGUGCCAGAGAAGCCUGGUAUGGAAACCACAAACUUCCUGACUUCGAAGGCUAGGCUGGAGCCCAAGAAGGCUUUGCAGACCCCUGGGUGUGCCCAGUGUGUGAGCCAAGUGUUGUCUGGCAGUGAGGCCAACAGCUCAGCUCUGCCCAUGUUUCAGCUGCCUGGAAUGGGAGCCAGCCAAGCAGGACCAGUGCUGCUCCAAGGCAGAAGGCCAGGUGUGCUGUCUCUGGGCAGGCAGGAUGAACAGCCAUGCCUGAUGUCACCCAGGCCCAGGAACCACCCUGGAUGGUGGGUACGUAUGCUGGCCCGCUCUGCUUUGGGUUCUUAUUCCCUCUUUGAAUGUGUUUCUUGAAAAACAAACUCUUUUAGGUGAAGAAACAGUUUAUGGUUUUUAGUAAUGAUUUGAAACAAAGCGAAUAUUGGUAACAUGCUCUGCAGACAGUUAUAUAAAGCUGUGAAGGAACUUCAGAGAAUUUACUAUAACUGUAGUACUAUUUAUCAUUCUGUACAAAGUAGCCACCUUUGGGAUUCAUUUCUUUGAGUGGUAUCAAUUCCCCAAAGAGAUCAGCAUUAAAAAAGUGAUUAAAAUUUUUUG